Molecule: ribosomal RNA, 442 nt
Filed under: uncultured bacterium
Lineage: Bacteria
Description: bacterial SSU rRNA
Rfam family: Bacterial small subunit ribosomal RNA
Source: RNAcentral
AACGCGAAGAACCUUACCAACCCUUGACAUGGAGGUCGUCGGAACCAGAGAUGGUUCUUUCAGUUCGGCUGGACCUCACACAGGUGUUGCAUGGCUGUCGUCAGCUCGUGUCGUGAGAUGUUGGGUUAAGUCCCGCAACGAGCGCAACCCUCAUCCUUAGUUACCAGCACGUUAUGGUGGGAACUCUAAGGAAACUGCCGGUGAUAAGCCGGAGGAAGGUGGGGAUGAUGUCAAGUCAUCAUGGCCCUUAUGGGUUGGGCUACACGCGUAAUACAAUGGUGGUGACAAUGGGAUGCAAGAUCGCGAGAUGGAGCAAAUCCCCAAAAGCCACCUCAGUUCGGAUUGGAGCCUGCAACUCGGCUCCAUGAAGUCGGAAUUGCUAGUAAUCGUGGAUCAGCAUGCCACGGUGAAUACGUUCCCGGGCCUUGUACGCACCGGCUAC